CAGAAGGCUGAUAGAAACAGAACCGAGCAAACUUGUGAGUUGAAGAUUUUCUUGUGUAAUAGGAGGCAGGCACUGCUUCUUAGCUAAAAUCUGACUCAAGAUAGUCUUAGCUGAUUUUGUUUCCAUAGGUAGUUCUGUUGAGUUGUAUACGUUCUAUUAAGUUGACCAAGUACAUAUGCUAGUUUAAUUUGCCAUUUAGGUCUGGACAGUUCAUGACUAAUGUAUACAUCGUGUGGCAGCUAAAUGUAGUUUUAGAUAUUCAAUUAUAGCUUCAACUAUGCUCAUGUACGCUAUUCAAAUCUAUAGCUAUGUGUUGUGUAUGAUAGGGAGAUCCUCUUUCCACCAAGCAUUAUUGAACACCAAAUCCAAUCAAUGAGAGAAACGUGCAUUAGCUCCUCACGGUGUGGGAGGUGUGUAGGGUACUGCUUUCCUACGCUUAAAAUCUUAGGUCGGCAGAUUUAUAUGGCUCUGUCCAUAGUUCUCCAUAUAAUUGUGGUUGGCAUCAUUUCAUGGGUACAAAGUUGCGUCUGGCCUUUCUUUAUUGGCUUGCUAUGAUACAUUUUUGUAUCUUAGUAUAGUGGUUUAUUUGGAUAGUCCGGUGGACUUGCAUUACUUUACUUAAGUUUAUACAUUAAUCCUUGUGUUUCCUUUAUGUGACGUUAUCUUUUUGUUAUUCUGUGUUAUUAUAUUUGAAAAUAAUUUAAUUUUAAAUUUUUUUAUUUUAUAAGAAACAUUUAUAGGCACAUGAAUACUAUGAUAUGCGUACGAUUAAAAUUGUAAAAACCCUCUUCUUCUUUUUUGUUAUAUUUUGCGUCUUAGUUAAACUAAGUUAUGAUAGUUGGACCGGAUGGACAUGUAAAGUAUUUCUUUUGAUUUAUUUGUUGAGUGGACAUGUUGGUUUUUGGGAUUGUUGAACCUUGAGAACCUUGGUACUUAAAUGUUUUACUUAUUUAUUACUUUAAGGGAUGCACAAUUUUCUUGAGCUUACUACUUGGAAAUGCUUCCUGAUGUAUAAACGUGAUUUGAAGUCAAUGUUUCUGUUCUAUAUCAUAUAAAAAAAUUAAGAAGGAUCGUCUAAGAUAAAACCGUAAACAUGGAUAAUAAAGACCAGGGAAAUAAGUGGUUUGAUUAAAAGUCACCUAUGCCUAUAAAAUUUUGGUCAACUUAUGUAGUACAGGUUCUUUGCUGUACCUAUCAGUCCAUGCAUGUGGCAGCAAAUGAAUGAAAUAAAUGUUUGGGGCUGUGACAUAUCCCCUUUUAUGAUGUGUUCUUCAAGAGCAAUUGCCAUUCUAAUAUAAUACCACCACCCCGUGGUUCUAGGAUUUCUAAUACGGAACUCUAGAUCAUGGGUGAACUACUAGAAACGGAGGAAAAUAGAAGUAUUAAAUGGGAAGUGUUUCUUGUUUCUUUGGGUAAACAACUCAUCAUUCAAUCAAGUAUAUUAUUGAAUUUUUUUCAGUAUGAGGUUAAUAGAUAAUAUUAGACUAAUUUUAGAAAAUAUAUACAUAAAAUAUCUAUUAUGACAAAGAGAUCAUGGAUUCACGUUCUUCAUAAUUCGGGCAAUAAAUCUGCUCGGGUAGUGUGGGUGGGAGGAACUUAAUGAUUGAAGAUUGUAGGAUUAUCGAACUUUGUAGGACGAAAAGAAGGGUCCAUCGUGCUGUUACGCAGCGUCUUCCUGAGAUUCCUUGGAAGGGCGACGUAAGGCUAAGCAACUAAUGUCAGUGCAGUUGCUGUCCGCCAACUGAGGUCCCCUCUGUAUGCUAGACGAGAUUGUCAGUGUCAUACGGGAAAAUCAAUGUCAAGCGCAAUUGAGAAAACAGAAUUGAGAAUGAAAGCUUGAUUGCAUUAAUGAAAGCUAUUACAUAAGGCUACGCGGUGUCGAGAGGGAGAGACACCAGUACAGAGAAUUAUUUGCUUGCUUGAUUGCUUGAUUCCCCCUAAUAAUACUUAAAAAAAA
RNAcentral lists this long non-coding RNA (1957 nucleotides) under Nicotiana tabacum (common tobacco). RNAcentral's name for it is "long non-coding RNA (NTAB_LNC017734)". The record is from RNAcentral. Lineage: Eukaryota; Viridiplantae; Streptophyta; Magnoliopsida; Solanales; Solanaceae.